GACUUGUCACGUGGCACAAGAAAUAUUCACUCAUAAAACCGUAAUUAACUUUUCAAAACCAUACCAAAACACUUUAUAAAACCUAAAAAGUUUAAAGAAAACACAAGACAAAUGACAUUCAAAACAGGAGAUAAACAAGAUAAAAGGUUGAGACGGUAAUUUAGGCAGUCAGUCGGUGUUUGUAGUACACGUCUCUCAAUUCUCUGCGUGAGGGAACUUUUCUGUUUUUGUGCGCCCACGCCUACCCUGUGGUCGCCAGGGAUGCUACACAGCUUAAAUCUUCCCUGGUGGGUGAUAAGGAAGGUGAGGAUGCUGCCACUGGACUCGUGGGGGCAAGAAAGAGUGAAAAACAAGCUACCAGGGCAUCGUGGCUAUUAGGGCAGCUUUUCCCUGUACCGAGCACCGCCAAGCAGCACCAGAGAGGCACGAAUAUGUAAGGGAGGAAGGGAGUACAAGCAAUGCAAUGGGUGACUUCCAAGCACUUACUGGCCUCCCAGGACCUGCAGUGGAACCAGAAACACUCCCUUUCUGGCGACAUUCACAGUUGUCACCAGUGCCACUCACUGCUGGAAGAUUGUGUCACUGUAUGCUGCCAAAGGUGUGAGUGAAGAGGAAAGAUGUAUUUGAGAUGCCAACAAGUCAAUUUGUUCUAGCCGCUUUUUAAUGUUUGGUGGGAAGCCUUGAGAAAAAGGCAGUCCCUGAGCAGCGUGUGCCACCAUGACGCAAGAUUGGCGUUCAUUGACUAUUAUUGUAACAGUACAGUAUUUUCAUUACAUCAGAGACCCCUAGGAGUUAAGGAAGGAAGGAGUACAAGCAACACAAUGGUUGACUUGGAAGUACUCACUGGCCUCCUAGGACUGGCAGUGGAACCAGGAACACACUCCCUUUCUGGCAGCAUUGGCAGUUGUCACUUCUGCCACUCAUUGCUGGAAGAUUGUGUCACUGUAUGCUACAAAAGGUGAUAUUCUCUCCGUCUCUCACUCUCUCUCUGACAGGAAGAAGAGGAGUACAAGCAACAUAAUGGGUGACUUGCAAGCAUUCACUGGCCUCCCAGGACCUGCAGUGGAACCAGGAACACUUUCUGGCAGCAUUCACAGUUGUCACCAGUGCCAGUCAUUGCUGGAAUAUUGUCACUGUAUGCUGCAAAAGGUGUUAGAUCUCUCUUUCUCUCUCUCUCUCUCUCUGAUAGGUGUGUGUGUGUGUACUUACCUAUCUAUCUAUCCAUAUGUCUAAACAUAGGAGCUUCAGAAAUUGGGGGCUGUAUAGGGUCAGAUGCAAAAGGUAGAGGAUCAUAGUGUUUUUAGUUUUUUUUCUUUUUAUGGAAUUUGUAUGAUGUAAUUCCAAUUUACUGAAGACUUGUUUUACACGUUAACACUUAUUUUCAUAUUUAACUAUUUUUUUUAUGUCCCAAGUAUUUGAAAACCUAAUUGUCAUGUAUUAUGGAAAUAAAAUGUUACCUGCA
RNA transcript from Scylla paramamosain (green mud crab), 1462 nucleotides. RefSeq lists it as uncharacterized. The record is from RefSeq and is a predicted model, not a curated record. NCBI's taxonomy places the organism in Eukaryota, Metazoa, Arthropoda, Malacostraca, Decapoda, Portunidae. The transcript has 6 exons.